This 78-nucleotide non-coding RNA is filed under the name Betaproteobacteria bacterium. Lineage: Bacteria; Pseudomonadati; Pseudomonadota; Betaproteobacteria. The record is from RNAcentral.
CUGCGGACCUGCGCCGAUUUGAUGUUCAGCUUGCGGGCGCGUUACAAAUUCGGCUAAAGAGACGCGUGGCAAAGUGCG